This 2265-nucleotide ribosomal RNA is filed under the name human gut metagenome. RNAcentral describes it as "bacterial LSU rRNA". It matches the Rfam family "Bacterial large subunit ribosomal RNA", at positions 3 to 2287 of the family's 2925-position model. The record is from RNAcentral.
UCAAGCUACUAAGGGCAUACGGUGGAUGCCUUGGCACUAAGAGCCGAUGAAGGACGCGGUAAGCUGCGAAAAGCCACGGGGAACUGCAAGCAAGUCUUGAUCCGUGGAUGUCCGAAUGGGGAAACCCACCAUCCGUCAUGGGAUGGUAUCCUACGGGAGGGGAACCCGGUGAACUGAAACAUCUAAGUAGCCGGAGGAAGAGAAAUCAAACGAGAUGCCCACAGUAGCGGCGAGCGAAGAGGGCAGAGCCUAAACCAGUCAUCUUCGGAUGGUUGGGGUUACGGACCUGCAUCAACCGAGUCCUACCUAGUCGAAUUACCUGGAAAGGUAAGCCAGAGAGCGUAAGAGCCGCGUAGGUGAAAGGAAGGACGAGGGGGCAGGGAUCCAGAGUACCACGAAGCACGAGGAAUUUUGUGGGAAGUCGGGGGGACCACCCUCCAAGGCUAAACACUUCUUAGUGACCGAUAGCGCAUAGUACCGUGAGGGAAAGGUGAAAAGAACCGCGGGAGCGGAGUGAAAGAGAACCUGAAACCGUAUGUCUACAAGCAGUCGGAGCGCAAGCGACGGCGUGCCUAUUGAAGAAUGAGCCAACGAGUUACGGGCACCAGCGAGGUUAAGCAGGAAAUGCGGAGCCGGAGCGAAAGCGAGUCUAAACAGGGCGAAUAGUUGGUGUUCGUAGACCCGAAACUGUAGUGAUCUACCCAUGAUCAGGUUGAAGCGCAGGUAAAAAUGCGUGGAGGACCGAACCGGUGAGCGUUGAAAAGCUUUCGGAUGAAUCGUGGGUAGCGGUGAAAUUCCAAUCGAACGCAGAGAUAGCUGGUUCUCCUCGAAAUAGCUUUAGGGCUAGCCUCAAGCAGUAAGCAUAGGCGGUAGAGCACUGAUCGGGAUAGGGUCCGUAAAGGAUACCGAACCCUGUCAAACUACGAAUGGUUAUGCUGCAGAGCUUGGGAGUCAGACUACGAGAGAUAAGUCCCGUUGUCAAAAGGGAAACAGCCCAGACCGUCAGCUAAGGUCCCCAAUGCCAUACUAAGUGGAAAAGGAUGUGGGGUCUCAUAAACAACCAGGAUGUUGGCUCAGAAGCAGCCACCAUUUAAAGAGUGCGUAAUAGCUCACUGGUCGAGAGGCCCUGCGCCGAAGAUUCCCGGGGCUAAAGUAUGGAACCGAAGCUACGGAUGCGGUACUUGUACCGCGUGGUAGAGGAGCGUUCCCAUUGGGUUGAAGUCGUCCUGGAAGGGACGGUGGACUGGUGGGAAGUGAGAAUGUUGGCAUGAGUAGCGAAAAGAUAGGUGAGAAUCCUAUCCACCGAAAGCAUAAGGAUUCCUGAGCAACGAUCGUCGUCUCAGGGUAAGUCGGGACCUAAUCCGAGGCAUGGAGCGUAGGAGAUGGACAACUGGUUGAUAUUCCAGUACCGGCAGCAAUCGUUUGAACGAUGGAGUGACGCAGGAAGGCAGGUCCGCGCGAGAAUGGUAGAUCGCGUACAAGCGUGCAGGCUGGUGCACAGGCAAAUCCGUGUACUGAGGCUGAGGCGUGAUGUGGAGGGAACUUGUUCCCGAAGGGAUUGAGCCUACGCUGCCGAGAAAAGCUUCUAGUGAGAAAGCUGCCGCCCGUACCGUAAACCGACACAGGUAUGCGGGGAGAGAAUCCUAAGGUGCGCGGGAGAACCCUCGUUAAGGAACUCGGCAAAAUGUACCCGUAACUUCGGGAUAAGGGUAGCCACAGUGGUGAAGGGACUUGCUCCUGGAGCCUAGUGUGGUCGCAGAGAAGAGGCCCAAGCGACUGUUAACCAGAAACACAGGUGCCUGCGAAAGAGAAAUCUGAUGUAUAGGUGCUGACACCUGCCCAGUGCUGGAAGGUUAAAGAAGGAUGUCCGGGUUCGACCCAAAGCAUUUGACUGAAGCCCCAGUGAACGGCGGCCGUAACUAUAACGGUCCUAAGGUAGCGAAAUUCCUUGUCGGGUAAGUUCCGACCCGCACGAAAGGUGUAACGAUUUGGGCACUGUCUCAACGAGGGACCCGGUGAAAUUGAAAUACCUGUGAAGAUGCAGGUUACCCGCGACUGGACAGAAAGACCCCAUGGAGCUUUACUGUAACCUAAUAUUGGGUUCUGAUAUUCGACGCACAGGAUAGGUGGGAGGCUUGGAGCAUGGUCCUCUGGGAUCAUGGGAGCCGCCGUUGGGAUACCACCCUUCGAAUAUCGGGAUUCUAACCGCAGGAGCAACGAUCCUCGGGACAGUGUUAGGCGGGCAGUUUGACUGGGGCGGUCGCC